Molecule: ribosomal RNA, 365 nt
Filed under: Eucnemidae sp. UPOL RK0340
Lineage: Eukaryota; Metazoa; Arthropoda; Insecta; Coleoptera; Eucnemidae
Description: partial 16S ribosomal RNA
Source: RNAcentral
GGGUUUAAUUUUAUUUUUAAGUGAAAAAGCUUAGAUUAUGUAAGGGGACGAGAAGACCCUGAAGAGUUUUAUAUUUAAAUUUUAAUUUUGUACUAGUGGUUGAUUUUUAAUUAUUAUUUAAGUGUUUUGUUGGGGUGAUGUAAAGAUUUAUUGAACUCUUUUUGUUUAUUUCAAUUAUUUUUGUGUUUAUUGAUUUAUUUUUGUGAGUAAAAGUUAAAUUACCUUAGGGAUAACAGCGUAAUUUUUUAUGAAGUUCUUAUUUUUUUAAGGGAUUGCGACCUCGAUGUUGGAUUAAAAUUUAAGUUUGGUGUAGGUGCUGAGCUAAUUGAGUCUGUUCGACUUUUAAAUUUUUACAUGAUCUGAGU